Molecule: unclassified non-coding RNA, 948 nt
Filed under: Hevea brasiliensis (rubber tree)
Lineage: Eukaryota; Viridiplantae; Streptophyta; Magnoliopsida; Malpighiales; Euphorbiaceae
Source: RNAcentral
CACACAUUGCAUCUGAACAUUAUUUUACUAUUACAAGAUUAUACAACUCAUCAAUAAACUUACAUGAAACCCCAUAAAGCAUAAAUCCCUCACCCCUCCAAAACUGCUAAAGUAAAGCUUCUUAACUACAAUCACAGGAAAUGCAAAUAUAGCAAAUAAAUAAAAGUCAACUUAGAACUUCAGCUGCAAAACCCUCAGACGAUCGAUUAACAGGAAUAAAGGAUGAAGGUGGUUUGGUCACAGCAAUCAGAAUAUCUGCAUAACCAACCACGCCGACUAAAACAUCAUCGCCAUUAUCCUCAGUCACCCAUACAUGGGUUGCCCUGUGAGACAGCAUCUGAGCCAUGACAGCAGCCAAUGAACUCGAAAGUUUACAUGUUAGGGGUGCACUUCUGCCCCUAUACAUGCUCCUGCCCAAUUCCAAAACUUGAGCUUCCUGGAUUGAAACCAAUGCUCCUGCUGCUGAAUUUCCUUGCUCUUGUUGAUCCACCAUCAUUAAACAUAUUAUUCUCGCCAUUUGUUGAGUUGACUGUAAAGUCAGGAAAUGAUCUUGUAGUCAAAUUGUCAUCUGCCCCCAUCACAAACUGCCCAGCUGAAAGAUUGGCUAAAGCCCAUGCUGCAGCCAAAUAAUCACAUUUCCAUAAUCUGGAGGCUGAUAUUUCCCCUAUAAUCUUACAGCGACCAUCUGGCAUGGGCUCAACAAUGGCAACAGCGAAGGAGUCUUGCGAUAGCUUUUGUGUAGCCUCAAUGACUGGAAGCGAGGCCUCAACUGAAUGAUAGUUCAAGUUAAUGGCUCCAAGAGCAGAGAUGGAGGAAAGAGGGAGUGGAGCUAGAGCGCCAAGGCAACCAAUCAGAAAACGGAUGAUAUCUUCUCUAGAGAGACAACAGAACUUGUCAUGGCUGGAACUAGCGGAAGAUAAGGAAGGGCGACUGGUGUUGAUGGUGAGG